AUUUAUGUAUGUUUUGCAUGUGUUUAUAUACAGUUCUUAAAAAAAAAUACUGCCAUAAAAACACUAAAAGAAAACAAAGUUAAAAAUAUUGUUUGUAAAUUUUAUUUAUUGGGCAAAUAAAACACUAAAUUCACUUUUUUAUACGCCAAUUUGAGGCGCCAUACUGGACUUCUCUGAGAGUCAAGCACAACGAUUUUUUAUUUUACGCAAUGCCAGUAAAUAAUAAUAAUAAUAAUAAUAAUAAUAAUAAUGUGCUUUCCUAUUUUUUCUGCUUUUUUGUAAAAGAUUACAUAAAUAAAAUUAAAAAUAUGAGUUUUGACUGACAAGCUUGGACAAACUGGCGUCUCAGUCGUUACAGAAACAUAGAAAAUGUUACAUUACAUGGAGAAACCUUUGGAAUGCAAGCAUGCUGAUCCACACAGGUAUGCACACAUGGGUAUUCACAGACGCGGACUAAAGCUUUCUUGGCUGCUGCCUCAAAGCACACUGUGCGCUGUCUAUCUUGCGUGCUGCACAAUAUCGUUUAUUCUUUAGUAAAUACUGAUAUCUAUGACUAGCUAGUUUAUUGUGAUGGUGCUUUGUUUUCUCCAUUAUUAUGUUGCUCUUUGUUGUUUGCUGUCUCCUCUGUUUGUUUUUGUUUGUUUGUUUGUUUGUUUGUUUUUUUCUCCAUACAGGUGACCCAGGAGUUUUUUUUUGUUUUUUUUUGUCUCUCUUCCCCCCCCUUCUCACCGUCUCUUCUCCCCUUUGGUUUUCUUUCUUUCUCUCCCCCUCUCUCUCUCAUUCAUUCCCCCUGUCCUAUUUAUUUAAAAAAAAAAAAAAAAUGACAAAGGAUGAACUGAAGCUCUGCCAUCACGUAAUGUCGCAUACUGCUGUUUCUGAUGUCAUUUAAAAAAAAAAAAAAAAAAAAAAGAAACAUAGAAAAUGAGUUUGAUAUUUUCAGUACUGUUAAUUUAGGGUAAUUGUGGCAUAAACAUUACACUGGGUGGUGGCCUGAUAGUUUAUCAAGUAUCCAUGUAUGCCUAUAUUGACUGUAUUGAUUAUGUUUUGUUUUAU
This is a long non-coding RNA of Astatotilapia calliptera (eastern happy), 1053 nucleotides long. The record is from Ensembl. NCBI's taxonomy places the organism in Eukaryota, Metazoa, Chordata, Actinopteri, Cichliformes, Cichlidae.